UAUCUCUGUAGAGUCUGCAUAUCAAUAAGCGGAGGAAAAGAAACUAACAAGGAUUCCCUUAGUAACGGCGAGUGAAGCGGGAAGAGCUCAAAUUUGAAAUCUUCAAGGUUUUACCUUGACGAAUUGUAGUUUAAAGAAGUGUUUUCUGUUGAAGUUUCGGUAAAAGUUCUUUGGAAUAGGACAUCAUAGAGGGUGAGAAUCCCGUAUUUGACCGUUAUUUUCAGCUGUGUGAUACACUUUCAAAGAGUCGGAUUGUUUGGGAAUGCAGUCCAAAAUGGGUGGUAAAUUUCAUCUAAAGCUAAAUAUUGGCGAGAGACCGAUAGCGAACAAGUACCGUGAGGGAAAGAUGAAAAGAACUUUGAAAAGAGAGUUGAACAGUACGUGAAAUUGUCAAAAGGGAAGCGUUUGACACCAGUGUUGUUUUCUCGAAAAUCAAUUAAAAAUAACCUGAUUUUGUGUUGUAUUGACCUUUAAUCAGCUUUCUUCACUUUUUUCUUGUCUUUUUAAUGCACUUUUCGUUUAACAAGUCAACAUCAGUUUCUUUUGUUGUAAAAGGGUCAUUGGAAGGUGGCUUUCCUUUCGGAUGAAAGUGUUUAUAGCCUUUGACUUCUGCAAUCGGAGAGAUUGAGGUCUGCAGCGUAGAUCCUUCUGGGAUUAGAUACAUUUGUGCUAAGUUAUAGUUUUUCAUAGACAACAUGUUGACUAUGAUUAGUCAUGUAGCUUACUCGCUUAUGCUAAUUUUACCUACGCUUAGGAUGUUGAACGCGCACAGAGUCUC
This 778-nucleotide ribosomal RNA is filed under the name uncultured Neocallimastigales. RNAcentral's name for it is "partial large subunit ribosomal RNA". It matches the Rfam family "Eukaryotic large subunit ribosomal RNA", at positions 24 to 614 of the family's 3401-position model. The record is from RNAcentral. Lineage: Eukaryota; Fungi; Neocallimastigomycota; Neocallimastigomycetes; Neocallimastigales.